RNAcentral lists this ribosomal RNA (1148 nucleotides) under Leuconostoc pseudomesenteroides. RNAcentral's name for it is "bacterial SSU rRNA". It matches the Rfam family "Bacterial small subunit ribosomal RNA", at positions 48 to 1169 of the family's 1533-position model. Lineage: Bacteria; Bacillati; Bacillota; Bacilli; Lactobacillales; Lactobacillaceae. The record is from RNAcentral.
UAAGUACAUGCAAGUCGUACGCUUCUUUUUCACCGGAGCUUGCUCCACCGGAAAAAGAAGAGUGGCGAACGGGUGAGUAACACGUGGGUAACCUGCCCAUCAGAAGGGGAUAACACUUGGAAACAGGUGCUAAUACCGUAUAACAAUCGAAACCGCAUGGUUUUGAUUUGAAAGGCGCUUUCGGGUGUCGCUGAUGGAUGGACCCGCGGUGCAUUAGCUAGUUGGUGAGGUAACGGCUCACCAAGGCCACGAUGCAUAGCCGACCUGAGAGGGUGAUCGGCCACAUUGGGACUGAGACACGGCCCAAACUCCUACGGGAGGCAGCAGUAGGGAAUCUUCGGCAAUGGACGAAAGUCUGACCGAGCAACGCCGCGUGAGUGAAGAAGGUUUUCGGAUCGUAAAACUCUGUUGUUAGAGAAGAACAAGGAUGAGAGUAACUGUUCAUCCCUUGACGGUAUCUAACCAGAAAGCCACGGCUAACUACGUGCCAGCAGCCGCGGUAAUACGUAGGUGGCAAGCGUUGUCCGGAUUUAUUGGGCGUAAAGCGAGCGCAGGCGGUUUCUUAAGUCUGAUGUGAAAGCCCCCGGCUCAACCGGGGAGGGUCAUUGGAAACUGGGAGACUUGAGUGCAGAAGAGGAGAGUGGAAUUCCAUGUGUAGCGGUGAAAUGCGUAGAUAUAUGGAGGAACACCAGUGGCGAAGGCGGCUCUCUGGUCUGUAACUGACGCUGAGGCUCGAAAGCGUGGGGAGCAAACAGGAUUAGAUACCCUGGUAGUCCACGCCGUAAACGAUGAGUGCUAAGUGUUGGAGGGUUUCCGCCCUUCAGUGCUGCAGCUAACGCAUUAAGCACUCCGCCUGGGGAGUACGACCGCAAGGUUGAAACUCAAAGGAAUUGACGGGGGCCCGCACAAGCGGUGGAGCAUGUGGUUUAAUUCGAAGCAACGCGAAGAACCUUACCAGGUCUUGACAUCCUUUGACCACUCUAGAGAUAGAGCUUCCCCUUCGGGGGCAAAGUGACAGGUGGUGCAUGGUUGUCGUCAGCUCGUGUCGUGAGAUGUUGGGUUAAGUCCCGCAACGAGCGCAACCCUUAUUGUUAGUUGCCAUCAUUCAGUUGGGCACUCUAGCAAGACUGCCGGUGACAAACCGGAGG